UACGUAGGGGGCGAGCGUUGUCCGGAAUUACUGGGCGUAAAGGGCGCGCAGGCUGUUAUGCGAGUCUGCUGUGAAAUGUACCGGCUCAACCGGUGCCUUGCGGCGGAUACUGCAUAGCUAGAGUACUGGAGAGGGAGGUGGAAUUCCAGGUGUAGCGGUGGAAUGCGCAGAUAUCUGGAGGAACACCAGUGGCGAAGGCGGCCUCCUGGACCAUUCCUGACACUCAGACGCGAAAGCUAGGGUAGCAAACGGGAUUAGA
This 259-nucleotide ribosomal RNA is filed under the name uncultured prokaryote. RNAcentral describes it as "partial 16S ribosomal RNA". It matches the Rfam family "Bacterial small subunit ribosomal RNA", at positions 524 to 782 of the family's 1533-position model. The record is from RNAcentral.